AGAGUUUGAUCCUGGCUCAGGAUGAACGCUAGCGGGAGGCCUAACACAUGCAAGCCGAGCGGUAGAAGAUCUUCGGAUCUUUGAGAGCGGCGCACGGGUGCGGAACACGUGUGCAACCUGCCUUUAUCUGGGGGAUAGCCUUUCGAAAGGAAGAUUAAUAUCCCAUAAUAUAUUUUACGGCAUCGUAAUAUAUUGAAAACUCCGGUGGAUAGAGAUGGGCACGCGCAAGAUUAGAUAGUUGGUGAGGUAACGGCUCACCAAGUCAAUGAUCUUUAGGGGGCCUGAGAGGGUGAUCCCCCACACUGGUACUGAGACACGGACCAGACUCCUACGGGAGGCAGCAGUGAGGAAUAUUGGACAAUGGGUGAGAGCCUGAUCCAGCCAUCCCGCGUGAAGGACUAAGGCCCUAUGGGUUGUAAACUUCUUUUAUACUGGGAUAAACCUACUUACGUGUAAGUAGCUGAAGGUACAGUAUGAAUAAGCACCGGCUAACUCCGUA
This 499-nucleotide ribosomal RNA is filed under the name uncultured Chryseobacterium sp. RNAcentral's name for it is "bacterial SSU rRNA". It matches the Rfam family "Bacterial small subunit ribosomal RNA", at positions 8 to 507 of the family's 1533-position model. Lineage: Bacteria; Pseudomonadati; Bacteroidota; Flavobacteriia; Flavobacteriales; Weeksellaceae. The record is from RNAcentral.